UGAUGUGUAUGUGCCCCUCUCCUUGAAUGCAUCUUGUAAAUCUCUUGGAACUUAAUGCUGUGUCAUGUUCUGACUUAGAUGCUUCAUAUUCUUGCAGAUGGAGUUUUUGGAGCAAUGAUGAAGGUAAGCUUAUGUCCGUUCAAUUUCUUCGUGAUGAUGCAUGUGUUGGGUGUUAAUGUCUAAUGGCUACAUACGUUUAACUGACCCCUCUUGUAACGGUGAGAAGGUCAGUUUGGUUAAUGUUGGACCAGUAACAAUGCAGCUUGAUUUACAAUCUACGAAGAAUUCAGUUGAUGCCACAGAAUCUUGAUGAAGUGGUUGGCCUGCUUUCAUGAAAAAAGAUUUCUUGAUUUUGGGCUUUGCCUUCUGGCAUUAGCAUGGAGUCAUAUUCCAAUGAGCUGUAUUGUGCAAACCCAGAAUUCCGAAGUCUCUGUCAUGAAAUCUGCUUAUAGCUGUACCCUUCUGUUACACCUGAACAACAGGACAAGACAGCGGUUGAAGUUAUAAUGAGAACUUCAUCCAACUUUAGAUAAAUCAUCAUUGAUAAAGUUAUUACUUUUCAUCCCUUCUAUAUGGUAAUAUAACAUUAUAAAUCCUGGGUUUAGGCUGAUCAGUGCCUUUUCAUUUGUUAUCUUUGGAUUUUGGAUGUUCCAACUUUCAAGCUGCUCAAAAUGCUAAGUAACUUUAGUUUCUCUGUUGACAUCGUCAGAAA
Prosopis cineraria is the source of this 712-nucleotide long non-coding RNA. RefSeq lists it as uncharacterized. The record is from RefSeq and is a predicted model, not a curated record. Lineage: Eukaryota; Viridiplantae; Streptophyta; Magnoliopsida; Fabales; Fabaceae. The transcript has 3 exons.